GGCCCUUCCUUCUCACCCUGCCCGGGUUCUCCCGCAGGUGGGAGCCUUCUGCGGCUUCUGGAAGCACUGACAGCUGCAGAGGCUACAACCUUUCCCACGUCCAUUCAAUCUCUCAUUGGUGCGCUCAGUAAAUAUUUAUACGGAGCACCUGUCCUGUGUCGGUAGCGGCGCCGCGCUGCGGGCGGGACAAGCAGCCCUGAACAAGCACCCACCACGGGGUCCUGCGCACGUGGCCAGGAUGGAAGGCUGGAGGAACGCGGUGGUCACCCAGGACCCACCCAGCUCGCGGGGCUCUGCCGCAGCAUGAUCGCGUGUGGGUCUCCCAGGAGCCCUGUGAGCUGAGACGGAAAGAAGGAAGGACGGCAGGAAGGGAAGCUUCUCUGCAUCUGGCUCCAGCUGUCCUCUUUCACAUGUGCUGUCUGCUUAAACUUCCGGACGCCGCGCGGUAAGGAGGUAUCUUCGCCUCCGCUUGCACAGAGAAGCAAGCCCCGGCCCAGAUGACGGCAGAGGAGGGACUGACACAAGGUGUCAUCAACACAACAGCAUCCUCAUCUCCAGGCGCUGUCCUUGGAGCAGCCUCCGGGAGCAGGCAAGGGCCAUCUUGCAGCAAACCUUCCCCCUGCUGAAUGAAGCCCAUUGCCGGGGCCUCUGGUCCUGCCAAGGAAAGAGCUGGUUUACAUCUCCCUGACUGGACCCCGAGCACCUGGAGGACAGAGACUGUGUCUCAUUUGGCAUUUAUUGUGUGCAGCACACGGCACAGGAACACGACAGAGAUUUCAGAAGACAAGUUUGUUGGUGGUGUGGAUUUUUUCUCUGCCUGUGAGUGCUUUGCAUGGUAAGGAGCAGGAAUAAGACUGGAAGAAAUCAUGACUAGACAUACCCAGAAAAGUGCAUUCCGGAAGGAGAACUCCCUUGCUUGAGAGCGUUGGCAAUCCUAAAUAAACAAAAAUGCAACAUUUAGAAACAGCUCAUCUGGUGUUUCACGUCUCAUCUGCUGCCCAGUUGGUCUGAGAAUGUGGCCCAAAAGAUGGCUUAGAUGAUCUAUGACCAAGUGAUCCAACCCCGGACAAAAGAUUCAUUAAUUUGCUACAGAGAAAAUGUGGCCCACAGAGUCAAAAUUUAAAAAAAAAAAAAAAAAAAAUUUUAAAGUUCUGUUUUCAAUUUGGAAUUUGAGCUAUCCUGACAUUGGCCCAAGUGUGGUGGAAAGGCAAGUCUUUUAUAUCCUUGAGUUGUUUUGACAUAGCCAGGGACACUUGGAGGAUAAGAUUCAACAAAUGUGGGCGCCUGGGUGGCUCAGUGGGUUAAGCUGCUGCCUUCGGCUCAGGUCAUGAUCUCAGGGUCCUGGGAUCGAGUCNNNNNNN
RNAcentral lists this long non-coding RNA (1361 nucleotides) under Mustela putorius furo (domestic ferret). Its description in RNAcentral is "lncRNA (ENSMPUG00000027384.1)". The record is from RNAcentral. Lineage: Eukaryota; Metazoa; Chordata; Mammalia; Carnivora; Mustelidae.